Molecule: ribosomal RNA, 253 nt
Filed under: uncultured bacterium
Lineage: Bacteria
Also listed under: 1 other name
Description: partial 16S ribosomal RNA
Rfam family: Bacterial small subunit ribosomal RNA
Source: RNAcentral
UACGGAGGGUGCAAGCGUUAUCCGGAUUCACUGGGUUUAAAGGGUGCGUAGGUGGGUAUGUAAGUCAGUGGUGAAAUCCCCGAGCUUAACUUGGGAACUGCCGUUGAUACUAUAUAUCUUGAAUGUCGUAGAGGUAAGCGGAAUAUGUCAUGUAGCGGUGAAAUGCUUAGAGAUGACAUAGAACACCAAUUGCGAAGGCAGCUUGCUAUGCGAUUAUUGACACUGAGGCACGAAAGCGUGGGUAGCAAACAGG